UAGCAUAUCAAUAAGCGGAGGAAAAGAAACUAACAAGGAUUCCCCUAGUAACGGCGAGUGAAGAGGGAAGAGCUCAAAGUUGGAACCGAGUCGCUUUAAGUGAUUUCGGGUUGUAAGCUAGAGAAGCGUUUUCCAGGCGAGCUGGGUAUGUAAGUCCCUUGGAAUAGGGCAUCAUAGAGGGUGAGAAUCCCGUAUGCCUACCCAAGCUAAUAUCGCCUUGUUGUGAUACGCUUUCAAAGAGUCAGGUUGUUUGGGAAUGCAGCCUAAAAUGGGUGGUAAAUCUCAUCUAAAGCUAAAUAUUGGCGAGAGACCGAUAGCGAACAAGUACCGUGAGGGAAAGAUGAAAAGAACUUUGAAAAGAGAGUUAAACAGUAUGUGAAAUUGCUGAAAGGGAACCGUUUGAAGUUAGACUGGCUGGUCUAUAAUCAAUCCUGGCUUUGGUUAGGAUGCACUUGUAGGCCAUUUUGCCUGCCAACGACAGUUUUUUGGGUAGGAAAAAAGUACUGAGAAGGUAGCCUCGUUUUCGGAUGAGGUGUUAUAGCUCGGUACAAAAUACUAUCCGAGAGACUGAGGAAUGCAGCGAACGCUUAUAGGCAGAGCUGCAGGUCGCUUGGUCAAAUCUAGGCUGGAAUUUCUUACCUCGGGUAGUGCCAGUCUUUACUAGAUCAACUCGGCUUGUAGACUUCUAGUUUCGCUUAGGUCGUUGGCUUAAUGACUUUAAAUGACCCGUCUUGAAACACGGACCAAGGAGUCCACCAUAGAUGCGAGUAUUUGGGUGGCAAACCCGCAUGCGAAAGGAAACUGAAUAGAUACGAAGCCUUGAGGCGGCAGUAUCAUCCGGCAAUGACGUUUUAUACAGACUUGACCGAGAUAAAGCAUCUAUGAUGGGACCCGAAAGAUGGUGAACUAUGCCUGAAUAGGGUGAAGCCAGAGGAAACUCUGGUGGAGGCUCGUAGCGAUUCUGACGUGCAAAUCGAUCGUCAAAUUUGGGUAUAGGGGCGAAAGACUAAUCGAACCAUCUAGUAGCUGGUUCUG
This 1035-nucleotide ribosomal RNA is filed under the name Radiomyces spectabilis. RNAcentral describes it as "LSU rRNA". It matches the Rfam family "Eukaryotic large subunit ribosomal RNA", at positions 36 to 959 of the family's 3401-position model. Lineage: Eukaryota; Fungi; Mucoromycota; Mucoromycetes; Mucorales; Radiomycetaceae. The record is from RNAcentral.